Felis catus (domestic cat) is the source of this 10779-nucleotide long non-coding RNA. RefSeq lists it as uncharacterized. Lineage: Eukaryota; Metazoa; Chordata; Mammalia; Carnivora; Felidae. The transcript is spliced from 4 exons. The record is from RefSeq and is a predicted model, not a curated record.
UUGAUGUUUAUUUUAUUAAUUUUUGUUUUCAGUAGCCUAUUUAAGAUGUCUUUGUCUAACUCAGUGUCCCGACUAAUUUUCCUGUUUUUUCUUCUACAAAUUUAGUGGUUUUUAUCUCUUAUAUUUUGGUCUAUGAUUCAUUUUAAGUUAAUUUUUGCAUGUGAAAAGAGGUAAUGAUUGAAGAACAUUUUUUUCUUCAUACAGAUACCCAGUUGUGCCACCACAGUUUGUUACAAAAACAUACCUUUUACCUCAUUGAAUUACCUUGGCUCCUUUGUUGAAAAUGUUUCAACCAUGAGUGUAGGUCUAUUGCUGACCUCUCUUCUUUCCGCUGAUCUAUCAUUCCAGUGCCACACUGGCUCAAUUACUGUAGCUUUAUAGCAAGUCUUGAAAUCGGGUAGUUUAUCUUUGUUCAUUAUUUACAUUUUCCUGUCAAAGUCACCAAUUUGGCUUCCAUGUUACUAAAGUUAAAUAGUCUCAAAUUUACCUUUCUCCAGAGUUUGGGACUAUUGAACUUUUUGAAAGUUUCUCUUCUCUUAUUUUUCAUUUAAUCUUUGAUGUAGUUCCAAGUCUUGCUGUAACUGGUACCUGGUUCCAAGUGAAGUCACUUGGAUAGUGCACAUUGAUUGACCCCAGCAAUAGUUAUUCAAAUGCCAGGGACUGCCAGGAAAUACAGGGUGGCGUAAUACCCAAUUUUUACUUGCAAGGAAUUGACAAGCUAGAGCAAGAUAGGGAAAUGUGGCAUAUUUAUAUACAAGAAUAAAUUAUAUUGGCUAGCACAGAAUUAACUGUUGAAUGAAUGGAAUAGGCAAUCUAUACUACACCAGUCUUCCAGAGGAGGGAGGAUUCUUUUAGCAAACAUGAGAAUUGACUGGGCUUUGAAGUAUAGGCAGAAAUUUGAUUGGCAGGAGCAGGAUUACAAGCAGAAGAUGUUUCAGGGGAUGAGGGAAUAGGUUGAAGUAACCUGGGCUUGGAAUAAAGGGUAAGAGUCGGCAGGCUUAUGGUGAACAAUACAUUUCAACUGUGGAGUCUUACUUGGAACUCCAGUGUCCAUGGAACAAAUCACUAUGCAGGCAAAGAAAUGGCCAAGGAUGGAGAAGUGAUGAGGAAUCUGGAGCAGAAAGCCAGCUAAGAUAUAUUAGGGCAAAGGGAAAAAUGAACAGGACAAAACGUAGCAAAGAACCUGACCAGGAUGCUAAAGGAUUCUGACUGUAUAAGUCACACAUGGAUAGUUUAAAUGCGAGUUCAGCAAUUCACACAAAGUACCAAAGGUGCCUCUGUGACCCAGCCUGGUCAUAGAGGAGGAGGAAGACAGUGAAUUUAAAAUUGCUGGGCAAGAGGGAAAAGGAACAUUUCUUGAGCACCUACUAUGUGCAAACUAGGUUUUUCACAAGCUUUUUAUUCUCUUAACAACUCUGUAAAGACUAUAUUUGCAAUAUUUUGAAUAUUCAGAAGCAAAAGUAAUCCUUAUUAAAACAUUCCUCCAGGGACCUGCUUAUCUUGAUCUGUUCACUCCCAGCAUCCAGAGCUGUUCUUAACUUGGGAUUUUAUAAGCUGGAAACGAAAUUAGUUCAGAGUCACUGAUCUGGGUUGCUUUUGCUCAAUAUCUAAUAUAGGCAUGAAUGGAUGAAUUUGGACAUCAGUUUUCAGUUUCUCCUCCUGAAGGAUUUCUCCUCUUUCAUUAUUCGGAUUCUGUCAAUCCUUUUUAGAGCCUUCUAUGUUGUUCCUGUUCCUUGCUGAUUUGGUCUAUGAUGUCACUUGUAAUAUAGACUUUUAUGGGUUGUGUACGUGUUCCUCACUUCAUAGACUGUCGUGUUAGGGAGGCCUUGCUUUACUCCAAAACGCACUUUCAAAGAGCUGCCUCUCAGCUACCGGAAUCCCAGAACUGGUUUCAAACUAAGGUCCUAUUCUGGCGUAACUACUCUGGGCUUUGUAUGAUCAGUCUUUAAGUUUGGGGGUUUUCUUCCGCAUCGCAUAAUGAAGAGGACCCUGCUUUUUGAGGGGUCACAUGGAUCAUGUUUUUGGACAUGCCUAUUUUCUUCUCUGCUCCAGAUUUUCUAUGUGAACUUGGGGGCAUUUCCUAACUUUUUUGAAACUCAUUUAUUCAAAUAUUUAUGCAACAACUGUUAUGUGACAAGCAUUAUUCUGGGUCCUACAGACACAGUGGUAAAUGGUAUACUAUAAGAUUGUUUCAACAUAUUGUAGAUAUUGUAAAAUGGCUGCCACCAUUGACACCUUAUGGGCUGUCAGCUAUGCACUUACCACCAUUUGGAAGGAGAGCAAACUUUCAGAUUUGGAUUUAAGCUGAGUGUAAGCAAACAUUGCCCUUCAGGUAAAAAAUGUGGACACCAUAAUACUCUGCUAAGAAGCAGUGUGAGUGUGGGAGAAAUGGUUUCAGAAAACGGAAAUUCUGUCUGUAUGUUAGCAUUGUCAGAAAAGGGAUCCUAAAAGAUAAUGGCAUUUAAGCUAAGGUUACAAUCCUGGAAAAAAAUAAUGUGCUUGUUCAAAUAGAAUUGGCAAUUCGUGUAUCAUUUAUCAGCCACUUAACAUAAGCCACUUAACUGAGAACCUACUUUGUACAGGAUUUUCUGUGUAUAACAGCUAGCUGGAGACCUAUGUAGUUUAAAAAUAAUUUUCCCAAACCACCCAGAUGGAAAAAGCUUAAGCUGGGACUAGAACUCAGGUCUCCUAAUUCCUUACAGAACGAAAUGCCCUAUGUUUCCUUACUUCAUUGAGUUCUUUACUCAAAUGUCAGCUCAAGGAGCCUUUCCUGACCUCGUCUAAAAUUACUUCUUUUUACACUUAGCACUACCUGACAUUAUAAACAUUUUUAGGGCCUUUUUCAUUGCUUCUUUUCCAAACCAGAAUGCACACUUGAUGAGGGCAGGGGCUGAGUCCUUUUUGUUCACAGAACACUGGAACGGCGCUCAGCAUAGUAACUUCUAGCUGUGUUCAUGGUCCUCCCACCGGGAGCCUGUGCCAGCAGUAGCUUCACAGUCCUUGCAAAAUACGGUCUCAGAACCCCAGCCUGGCCCACCAGGUUGGGGCAGUCUGGCGGCCACCCAUCUCUCCAGCUUCAGCUUCAGUCAUUCUCAGCCAUGAACCUUGGCUCUAGCUGCCUAAGUCCACUUGUUAUUCCCCAAACAUAUAUUUAUGUCUUUACUCAUGAAUGUCUCACUGCCUGAAAUCCUUGCUCCUUCCUUAUUAGCUGGAUGACUUCCCUUCAUCUAUCAAUGACCAACUCAAAUGUCAUAAUAACUUCUGAUUCCAACCCAAACUAGUUGCUCUAUUUGUGCCCCCCAAAAAACUAUGCAUACCUCCAUGAGAGUAUUUAUCACAUUUCAUUGAUUCAUUCAACAAAUAUUAGUGGGGUGCCUUCCAUGUAGGAGGCACAGUAUUCUUUAAAAAUGUGUCCAUCUUUUUCUAAGGCAAGACUGAGAACUCUUUCAGGGGUCAAGUCUUAUUUAUUUUUGUACCUCUCAGAACUCUGCACAAAGUUUGACUCUGCUUCACCAACUCUCAUUUACCCAUCAAGAUUCACUGUGAAUAUGGUAUUCUCUAGAAAAGUUUAUAUAGCUUGUUAGGGAUCCCUACAAUUUCUGAUAAACUUCUAAAUUAUUACCUGCAAAUAGGUGUGUGUUGAUUCACUUGCAUUUUUGUCUGUGGCACCAGCUGCGAGCACCUGUUACGUUUGAAUCUGUAGCACCUAACAGAGGAGCUGGCACAGGAAGCUUCAAUGAAUGGGUGUGGACUUCCUGGUGGUGAAUUCAGGGUCUUAGUGCCUCCAUUCUCUGUGGAGAAAGAUCAAAUCUGGUUGGAUGGCUCCCUUCAUCAGCUUGAUCCCUAGUCCCCCUUAGUCAUUUUAAGAUGCCAUGGUGAGAUGCCUCACUUUCUGAAGUUGGAGAGGCUAAACCAACUGCUGAGUGUUUCUGCUGUGCUGGUAGCACUUCGGGUAAAACAGUGUAAAUAAUAUCACUGAAGGCAGCCUCCUUUCAUCUGCAGAUUAACUGGGCAAUGUUCAUCACCUUCUUAGCCAGGAAAAGCUUUUAUCAGGCUCAGCUAACAGCUUGCAUUAGCCUCUUACAAGGACUUGCCACAUUGCCUUUAAACUGACAUGCUGCAGAGUCAGCCCCGGUAAGAGUCCAAAAAAAGUGGAAUCUUUUCUGAUGACUGUCAGAAUGGAUGGUGUAUCUAUCUCCAGGCUGGAAAAAUUCAAUAAAUUGCCUGUUUGGCAGUGGAGGGGAGAGUCAUCAGUAAAGUAGGCUGACCCUUAUGUGGGCAGAAUGACUGAAUAUUUUGCUAAUGUUCAGAAGAGUUCUCUUUGUAAGCACCAUGGCAAAACUUCUUUAACAGAGGUUAAGUGUCUGAGUUUCGUCAGCAUUAUUCUAUGCCAAGACCUGGAAAGGUAAAUGUUGACCUCCCCAAAUGGCAAAAAUUGCCUGCAUAUUUAGACUUCUUUGAUCAGAGACCCAAUGAAAGUAUUUCUAUAGUGUUCACCUCAUCAUAACUUAAAUCUCUUCAUUGACCAUUCACUGGCCAUGAGUGAAGUUGGAAAGGGCUGUCUCCCCUUUGAAUCUGAAAAUGAAAAUGAGUGACUUAUUCAGUGUCCAUGGGAAGGUAGACUAUCCAUCCUUUCCCUUUUUGUUUUGCUUUGUUUUCAAGUAAUACUGGUUGCAGUAACUGCUCCAGUGUAAUCGUUAUUGCUGACAUCAUUUGCAUUUCUAUGACAUGGAGAAUGGUGACUCCGUGGAUGCCAGAUCCCAGAAGGCUUAUUUUACAGGGUUGUCCAAACACAGACAUCUCCCGUCCAGGCCCUGUGAAGCCCCCAUGACUUCACAGCUGGGAUAGUUCUAUGUGAGGUGUCAAAGGACUCAGUACAACCAGGUCUACAUCCUGUGAAACAGACCAAAGGACACCCUUUAACCUCAGAGGCAGUGGUCUGAGUAAUUGUCCUAGUUCUGAAGAGAUUAGCUACCUUCCCAGCCUCUGGCUUGCUUCUCCUUCUCAUAGUGAGAAUGAUACUUCCUCCUUUCUUCACACUCAUUUACAUAUUGGCGAUGAAUGCCCUCUUGAAAGACAUAUAUUAAUGUACAAAGUUAGCAUUACUGAUUUUGGUAUAUCAAAUCCAUUGAUGGACCACAAAUGAUGUCUUUAAAAUGCUUUCCAUUAUGUCCCACAAAGACUCAGAAAGGCAGGCACUUUUAUCCUCUAUUUAUAUAUGAGGCUAAGAGAAGCCGAGGAACUUAUUCAAGGUCAAUACCCAGUAAACAGCAGAACCAGGAUUUGAGCCCAGAGCUAGUCUAUCUCCAAAGAUUUUUGGUAAAAAUUAGGCUUCUAUAUACUCUGCAUUUAUCUAAGGCUGUGGCACUAUUCAAGAAACCACCCAUCAGUGAGAUGCAAUGAUCUAUAAUCAUUGGAUUUAUAGAAAACUAGCCACUAAAUCAGAGUCAUUCAGAGUCCCUGAAAAGCAGUAUUGUGGAUACUCAAGAAACGAUCACGAAAGUUGCUUUAAUUUUCAGAAUUAAAAAAUAACUAUCAAAGUCAGCACUUGGGGAGACUGGGGGAUUUGGGUGUGUGAGGAAGGAGUAGGAUGUGAGGGACAAGUGGGACACUGAAUCUCCCAGAGCGUUCGCCCCCUUCCUUCAAAGCUUUAACCACCAGGGCCAAAUGUCCACAAGACUGGUCAUCCGCAAGUACACAGCAGAGCAUGAGUUAGGAGCGUCUCCUUUUUAGCAUUCAUUUCUGACUUUAAUCACUUGUGCCCCAUGCCUACAGUGGGCCAGGCCUUGUUAUAAUCAGAUAAAUACAUGUUUUAGUGAUCUUGAAAACAACAGAGGAAAGUAAAGCAACAUGCCUGCAGCCACACAGUACCCCCCGAUUGUGUUGCUAUCUCCAAAGGCAGGUCCUAGGCAGGUCCCUACUGCCUACUCCAAAGGCAGUAGUUUGAAAACUACUAAAAGCGUUUUCAAAUUGCUCUCCUUGCUUGAAAGCAUUUGUGCCCUUCACAGCACACAUAUCAGCUAAAUCUAUUGAAAUUGCAAAUCACAACCUAACACUCACCCCAACCCACACCCAUGUAAAAACUUACCAAGACACUGCAUAAAUUCCAAAAUCCCUGACAGAUCCUAUGAGGUCCACCACAGCUGGCCCCUGCCUAUCUCCCUAGCCUUGUCUCCAACCUCUUCCCCCUCGCUCACCUUGCUCCAGUGGUGCUGGCUUUCUUUAAUUUCCUUAAACAUACCAAACUCUAUCCAAAUUCUGGCUCUUGAAAUUGCUCUUCCCUGUGCCUGGAAUUCUCACAGAUCUCUGGAUAGUAAGCUCCUUAUCACCAUUUAGCUAGUAUUUUUAUGACCAUGCUAGCUAAGUAGCCACUCCUCCCACCCUUGGACACACACUCCUUCAUACUUACCUCUUACUCUGCAUUAUUUUCUCACAAAAUCACUAGAUUUUUGGUUUGUUUGGUUCUUAUCGUUAGAAUAACAACACAAGAGAAGAAACUUCAUCUUGUUCUUUGUUAUAUUCCCAGAGCUUUCAACAGUGCCUAACAUGUAGCACACAUUUAAUGCAUCCUUGAUGAAUGAAUGAAAUGGAUGAAGUGAACCUCUAAACCCAAAUCUGCCUGAAGUGAAAGGCCACACUUUGACCACCAAUAUGCUGCAAUUUUUAAUUAAAUUCUUAAGAUAGAUUCAGUAAUGGGCUAGGCAGGAAUAAUAUCUGGUCCCUCCCUUCAAAAUGUUUACAAUUUAGUUGUAAUAUGACACUUAUGCAUUCUUGGGAUAGCAAAUAAUACCACUGAGUUCUCGGUAAAGGGAAUGGCAUCCGAGGGCAUCAGAAUGCAGAAUAGAAUGGUCAGUGAAGACCCAGGCAGUCCUUAAAGGCUUUCUAGAGGUGAGUGAUUGGUAGGAGCUUUGAAUGGUGGAGGCAACUUAGAGAAGGAGAGAAGACUAUUGGGUUCUUGGUUAAGACCUAGCAUCGGUGAGUUUAUCCAGGACAGAGUCUAAUCAAUGACAUGUAUUUUAGGACAUCCCAGACUAGGGACAUUUGUUAGAGCCUUUUUUCCAGGAAACAACAACAACAACAACAACAACAACAACAACAACAACACUCACCCUUCAUAUACAAGUACAAUUUCACAAGAAAACAAGGCACACAAGGGAAGAGGAAAGGAGGAAAGGAAAUGAGGCUCCAUGUUUCUGAUUGUGGUGGUGGUAGGGGAGAGACAGAGCUAGCACACAAUGAGUAUCAGAUAGUUGUUGCCUCUCUUACCCUUGAAGUUCUUUUUUUUGUGGAAUUCAUCUGGAAUUUUAUGCUUUCUCCAAAAAUAAGUCACCAAUAGUAGGGGCUCAUAAGAGGAGGCCACCACUUUGGGGCAAAUGGUAGGGCAAGGCCUCUCUGUAGCAUCGUAUAUACCCAGGUAUGGGGCUGCACAGAGCCCUGGCCAUUGGCAGAGACCAUCCUAGAGUUUGUCAGAGGGCUGUAGCUGCCCCUCAGAGGAGAUUCCCCCACCUCCAAUCAUGGCUCCCAGUGAAGUGUAGAGCAAGGAGAUCCUUGAGAACUAGGUCACUAACUAGUAAAGUGACUUACUAUGUUCAGAAUAAACAUCCAUCCAUCCAUCCAUCCAUCCAUUCAUUUAACAAGCGAGUAUCAUGCAAAUUUCAGGAGCUAUUUCUUGAGGAAUUCAUGGUCUACCCACAAGGAAGCCCAUGUGCAGUUAGUGUCUUAAGUGGCUACUCAUGCUUCCAGGUCUGGGUUGGUUGAAAAUGUUUAUCACAUAUCCAGGCCUGACCACAAAAUCACACCAAAACAAACCAAAACACUCCAUGAAGGGAAAGACUAUGCUUAACCUUUUUUUCCUCUCAGGCUCUUCCCAGAAAGGUGAUAAUGGAAGAUUUGGUCCCAACAGGGACACAGGCAAGGGAUUUGCAUUUUAAAGUUUGACAGAUAUUUAUAGGCCUUUUGAUCUCCUUUUUCCCCCUUACCACCCACUCCCUGAAACUUGCCUGCCUCCUCCUCCCCCACCCGAUUCUGUGCAUUGUCCCAGGUACAAAUCAAAGAAAUGGUGAUGGCUCCAGAGCCAGAGGACCCUGGUGCACUGACGUGGUGUGCCCAAAAUCACAUAGCUCCUAUUUAUUGAAUAUUGACUGUAUAUCAGGUACUUUUCUUAAUUCCUACCCCCCACAAUCUCCCUGCAAGCUUCAUUUAUGAUUUACCUUUUGUUGUUGUUGUUAAGGGGUGGGGGGGACUGAGGCUCAGAGAGAUUAAAAAACCUGCUCCAGUCACCAAUAAGUAGUGGAGACAGAAUUAAAACCCAGGUCUGUAUGUCCCAACCUAUGACCUUUUCAGUAAGCCAGGCUGACUCCAGUAGACAAGGGUGGUUCUUGCAGGCUGCUUAGCUAAGAUCCUUCUCAGAACAGAUUAUCCUGCAUUCCAGUUUUGCUGGUGUUAUUCUGGAAAUAGCCCAAUAAAUGUCACAAUUUGAUUUACUUGGGACAAACUGGCAGCUGCCUUUUCCUUUGCAGCUCUUCUUGGGCUCAGAACUUUCCCUUUGCUUCUACUCAUCUUUCGCACAGACCACUUCGGCCCAACAGCUGCAAGCCUGGGUUUAGAACCAGCAUCUGCAGCCUCAUAGGGUUUGCUGAACACAGCUUCUCUCCAGCCCUAAGAAAGCCUAUUGGAAACAAACUCAGAAUCUCAGACCCUUACAUUUUUGCAGCUGGAGGGGGUCUCAAAAACCAUCCAAGAAACAGGCAUUCAGACAAUGACUUGUGCAGAGUAACUGGCACCAGAUUUAUUAGAAUACUAUAUAUUUGCUAUAUUAAAAGUGGACAGGUGGCAGUUAUACUCGUGAGGAACAGUGUAAUGUGUAAACUUGUCAAAUCACUGAGUUGUAUAUUUUUUACUAAUGUAACAUUGUGUGUCAAGUAUACUCAAAAAAAAAAAAAAAGGAAAGAGAAACAAAUCACAUUAACACUUCCAUGUGCUAGGUGGUUUGUUGUAUUUAAUCUUCACUACAACCCAGUGAGGUACAAUUAAUUACUGUCCUCAUGUUACAGAUGAGUCCUGGCUUAGAGAAAUAACUGACUUAAGGUUCUUAACGAGUACCUAGUGGGACCAGAAGGUCUGAACUUGGGCACUGCAGGUAACACAGACCCUUCCUGUCCCACAGCAGGUGGAGGGGUGUGAUGAAAAGCACAAACAACACCCAGGUUGAAGUGACUGGCCUAGGAAAUUUGUUCCUGUGCAGAAGAGUGAAGAGUCAGCCGAAUGAAGCAAUGAAUGCAAUCAUUUUGUGGACUAAUGGAGAUAGAAUCCAACCUCAUGGUAGAGGCUCUCGGUAAGGUUCCUCUCCAGAAGAAUGGCUACAGAAGGAGAAAUCUCCUCUCCCGAGCACCCAGGGUAGAUUCUGGUGUGGACUGAGCUGCUCCUGAGGAAACUCUUUUCUGAAUGAUUGCCCAUCAAACACAUAGUUGUGGGGCCCAAGUUUCAGGACAACAGGGGUCCGAGAUGAUGCUGGUCCAACGACUUCAGAUUUUAUCCAGCAUGCCCUGGCCCAACCCCAUCUGCUCUUAAGGCUGGAUGCAUUAACCAAUCUGGAAGCAAGUUUGUGAGAGCAAAACCAGCUUGGUGAUACCCUGUGAAGGAGGCUGUUGCUAUUCUGGCCCAGGAAGAAUGGCAUUGAGAGACUGUGCACAGCUCACAGGAAGCCUGCAAGGCUGCACUCCCGCAGAAAUGAGAGAGGGUGGGACAAACGAGGCCGACAAGCAUUGACAGGGGAAAUACCUUGGGAUGUUCUGUACUGGAUCAGACUCCAGGUGAUCUUGUCAUCAUGCAAGUGUGGGAAUGUAUGCAUGUGAACUCUAUGACGUGCAUACUGAACAUAGAGCUCCAACAAGGACUUGGCAACCCUUACUGUAUCCGACUCGCCAGCGUCCUAUUAUCUUUACAAGAGUAAUUCCCCUCCCUUCCUCCCUUCCUUCCUCCUUUGUCCUUUCUUCAUUUUUGAGUAAAUGUGCUACCCAGAUGCUUUGAUUCAACUUGAGGGCAACUGUGGUUCCUGAGUCUAUAUCCAAGGCCAGGUAUCAUGCCAUUUCUCUACAUGUAUUAAUCUCCACAACAAUCCUGUGAAGUGUGUACUGUUAUCAUCCCCAUAUCACAAAAAGAGAAACUGAGACACAGAGAGAUUCAGUUACCUGCUUAUGAUCGCAUAAAAGGAGAAGGGUCAAGAUUUGAACCUAGGAACACUGGCUGACAGUCUUUGCUUCAAAUCAUGCUUCAAACCAUUAGACAACGAAGCAAGUAAGGUGAAUAAAGAAAAAUACCCUCAAUUCCUCUUACCAGAAACAACCACUCAAACACUUAGUCAUUUUUAUAUGCAAACAUUUAAUUGAAUCAAAGUAUUAAUUUUAUAUGCCCUGCUUAAAAACUCUACAAUUAGAUUAUAUCUCCUCUGUUGUGUGUUCCUUGCAAAUCUGAUUUUUGUUAACUAUGUAGUAUUCCAUCAUACAGAGAGGGCAUAAUUUAUAUAUCCCUACUUUGUUGUUAGAUUUCAAAGUUGUUUUUAAUUUUUUACUAUCAUAAUAUUAUGAUAAAUAUUCUUUUUUAUAAAUAUUUGACUAUGACUUUGUUUGGUUCUAUAGAAUAAAGUUCAUAUGCCAAAGGUAGUUUUAAAUCUAAAAUGCAUUCUAGGGACACCUGGGUGGCUCAGUCGGUUAAGCAUCCAACUUUGGCUCAGGUCAUGAUCCCGUGUUUCAUGGGUUCGAGCCCCAGAUCGGGCUCUGU